Molecule: ribosomal RNA, 1675 nt
Filed under: gut metagenome
Description: bacterial LSU rRNA
Rfam family: Bacterial large subunit ribosomal RNA
Source: RNAcentral
UAGUGGCGAGCGAACGCGGAAGAGGCCAAACCGGAGGAUUUAUUCUCCGGGGUACGGACUUGCAUCACGAUCAGAGGAGCCUAAAAGAACGGCAUGGGAAGGCCGGCCACAGAGGGUGAGAGCCCCGUAUUUGAAAGGUGAGACUGACAGCGAGUAUCCAGAGUACCGCGGGACACGAGGAACCCCGUGGGAAAACGGGUGGACCACCAUCCAAGCCUAAAUACUACCUGAUGACCGAUAGAGGAGCAGUACCGUGAGGGAAAGGUGAAAAGGACCCCGGGAGGGGAGUGAAAGAGAACCUGAAACCUUGUGCUUACAAGCACUCAAAGCACGUUAAGGUGUGAUGAGGUACUUUUUGUAGAACGGUCCGGCGAGUUAUAGUAACGAGCAAGCUUAAGGUAUUCAGUACCGGAGGCGAAGCGAGAGCGAGUCUGAAUAGGGCGUAAAAAGUUCGUUGCCAUAGACCCGAAACCGGGUGACCUAACCAUGAGCAGGCUGAAGUGAGAGUAAAAUCUCAUGGAGGGCCGAACGCACGUUCGUUGCAAUGACCGGCGAUGACUUGUGGUUAGCGGAGAAAUUCCAAUCGAACUCGGAGAUAGCUGGUUCUCCCCGAAAUAGCUUUAGGGCUAGCGUUAUCUUAGAUUACCGGAGGUAAAGCACUGAAUGGGCUAGGGGGCGAUAAGCUUACUGAACCCUAUCAAACUCAGAAUGCCGGCUAAUUGAUGGAUAGCAGUCAGACAGUGUGAGAUAAGUUUCAUUGUCAAAAGGGAAACAGCCCAGACCCACAGCUAAGGUCCCUAAUGUAUGCUAAGUGGAAAACGAUGUGGAAUUGCGAAAACAACCAGGAUGUUGGCUUAGAAGCAGCCACUCAUUAAAAGAGUGCGUAAUAGCUCACUGGUCGAGUGACUCUGCGCGGAAAAUAUAACGGGGCUAAGCAUACAACCGAAGCUUGGGAUUGUCUAAAGACAGUGGUAGGGGAGCGUCGUGUAUGGGGUGAAGUCGCAUCGGAAGGAGCGGUGGACUGUACACGAGUGAGAAUGCCGGAAUGAGUAGCGAGAAUUAUGUGGGAAUCAUAAUGGCCGAAAAUCUAAGGUUUCUUGGGGAAGGUUCGUCCGCCCAAGGUAAGCCGGGAGCUAAGGCGAGGCCGCAAGGCGUAGUCGAUGCACAUACGGUAAAGAUUCCGUAGCCGCCGAACUUUAAGUCAGAGGGACACUUGCAGAUAGCGGAACCCAGCCGUUGGUUGAGCUGGGCGAAAGGGACUGAAAUUAGUAGGGAAGUCCGCGAUGCUGAAAGGCGAGAAAAGCUCUGAUGGAUACUAAGGCGCCCGUACCGCAAACCGACACAGGUAGAUGAGGAGAGAAUCCUAAGGCCAACGGGAGAAGGGUUGUUAAGGAACUCGGCAAAUUGACCCCGUAACUUCGGAAGAAGGGGAGCCCCGAAAGGGGCCGCAGUGAAUAGGCCCAAGCAACUGUUUACCAAAAACACAGGUUUAUGCUAAAUCGAAAGAUGACGUAUAUGAGCUGACGCCUGCCCGGUGCCGGAAGGUUAAGAGGAGAGCUUAGAGGCAACUCGAAGGUUUGAAUUGAAGCCCCGGUAAACGGCGGCCGUAACUAUAACGGUCCUAAGGUAGCGAAAUUCCUUGUCAGGUAAGUUCUGACCCGCACGAAUGGCGUAA